RNAcentral lists this long non-coding RNA (4273 nucleotides) under Sorghum bicolor (sorghum). RNAcentral's name for it is "long non-coding RNA (SBIC_LNC012868)". Lineage: Eukaryota; Viridiplantae; Streptophyta; Magnoliopsida; Poales; Poaceae. The record is from RNAcentral.
UUGGGUAUUUUAAACGCAAACAGAAAAAUCCUCAAGCGCACGGAUACCGAUGUAGCUUUCACCCGGGAGUAUUCAAGAGUAUCGAAUUUCCACAGGGAACAUGAGUGUACUAAUUAAGAUUCAAGAUCUCCCAAGGAUAACUAUAUAAUUAUUUUUGGUGGGAAGAGAGGAAGUUUCCUGAGAGUUCUCUAGUUGAUCUAAGAAUCAAGAAUUACUUCAAGAUUAUCUAUAUCGGGAUAUCAGAGCACUAACCACAGAAAGAGAUGAGAAGGGGGCUAGGAAGGUCUGACUAGUGUCCUAAAAGACCGAUCCGAACGAGGUGGAAUACGUCGACCGUUAGGGUUGUCACUACCCUAAGGCUACCACAAUAAUCCACAGGAUUGGGUGCAAUUCCAGGUAAUUGCAAGACUAAACACCACGUAUAAUCUAUUAAUUACUACUCUAGCGUUAUAAAGACUAGAGCACUUGAUGCAAGCGGGAAUCCAAUAAAUAACUUGAAUGUAAAUAAAAGUAAUUAAAGAACUCAGGAAUUAUGAAUUGAAGAACCUGGAGAACGAUGAAGAACGAACCAGUUGCUGCAAAAGUAUAAUGUUGAGGAAGAUCCGACAGAUCCGGCUCCUCCUCCUCUGCUCUCCUCUUCUCUCUCCCUAUUUUCUAGAUUACAACUAGAACUAACUAGAACUAGAACUAGAGGAACUAGAACUAGAACUAGAUAAACUAGAACUAGAACUAGAUGAACUAGAGGUAGAACUAGAAGAACUAGAGGGAUCCUCUCUACUUGGAUGAAGAAUUGAAACCCUAACUUUGAUUCUGUAGAAGAGGUAUGAUCUCCAGGGGCCAGGGGGCCUUGCUUAUAUACUCUUUUCAGAUGAAUCUAGGCCAUCGGAUCAAACCGACAUUAAUCGUGUGGUUUUCCUCGAAGUAUUAGGUCGUCGCUGAGCAAAGAUGGACUCAAGAGUUUCUGCAGUGGUUUUAUGCCUUAAAGAUACACAUGCGUUCAAACAUGAUCUCAUCUCUGGGUUAGGGUAAACUGUUAAGAUUUAAACUUACUCAUUUUUCCUUCCACCAUGGGGCUUGCAACCGUCACUUGUGUCUUGAGCAGUUAAAAGAUAGAACGGUCUAAUCAAGCGCCAUGUCUCAUGUUCUUGAUCAACUAUAGCUCUGGAGUUUUUGCAGAUUUUCAAAUAAAACUCAGAGAUUCCUUGUAUGACUCUCUCUAGUCUCUCUUUUGUGGUAUUUCUGGAUCCUUACCAAGGCAAUAAUGGUAUAUGCCUUCUCUCAAAGUAUGUGGUAUUUGUGGUAUAAGGCAUAGUGGCAUUGCCUUCUCUCUCACCCUACUCUAAUAAGGUUUUGAUAUUUGGAGCUCAUAGGUGGGAGACAGCUAAUACAUACUUACAAGACAUUUAUUGCAUAGUCAAACCAUGGAUCCAGAAGAACAAGUCAAUAAAUCAAAUCAAGAUGUGCAUGUGUGGCGAAUGAAUGGUGAUAACAAUGGUGAACGUCUAAUUCUACUUGUGCUCUUUUGAGAGGAUACAUACCUUUCUUGCUCUUUUGAAUCUUUUUAAGGAGAAUGAGAUGCUCUAUAUUUUCUUUUUCUUUUCUCUAUUGUCGAACACUUGUCCAUUUUUACCUCUCGUCUCACUUUUUCUUUUCUUUCGAGGUUCCAGGCACUUGCCCCUUUUUAUUUCCUUGUAUUCAUUCUUUUUUUUUCUCUUUUUUUAGAGCACUCAUCUCCUGAAAUAAUAUAGCAAGUGGUAGUAACCAAGAUAACUUGAGCAUUUAUUUCACAGGGAAAAACAUAAAUGUUUUUGGCUAUUCUCUCCCGGAUUAGGAGUAGAAUAUUUUUAGGUGAUUCUGGAGAUGGAAAUGGGUGGAUAUAUGUGGAUGCGUACUUCCGGAGUAGAAGCAGCAUGUGUGAGUGAACGUGCAAGUGAAUCUUGACUUAACCACAUGACAAGCUCCUAAGGGUCUACACAGCUUGACCACACUCAAUGCUCAUAAGCAGUAAAAAGUAAAUGUGUGGCUCAAAGUCUAGCAAGCAUGUAUAUAUGGCUGUGGUAGGAAUUUAAACUCUCAUCAUACAGGAACUCAUCAUGCAAUAUUUUCAAGAUUUUUAAAGAUAAAAUUCUCUAGAAUUCUAGCAUCUCUAGGAAUAGAUAAACAGCAGCUCAACCUUCCCAUAUCGUAUCCGUUAACGACUUAGACUUUAGAUCAAGUACUCUCCCCACAAGUUCAGGUUUAGAGCAAAUCUUAAUUAAUACCAGUCAUGCCUAAACUUGAGAGAGAUUUCAAUUUUAAGAACUAGUCAUGGCAGAGCAACUAUUUAUCAUUUCCAUGUGAGAACUUAUUGACUUGUUAUUUAUCAUGAGGGAUCAUAGCAAACUUUAUUUGUUUAUUUAUUUAGCAAACUAAGCAAAUAUAUAUAAGCCCAAAAUCUUUAUUUGGGUUUUUAUGAUUAUGCAUAUUUUUAUUAUUUGAGUAAAGUAUAAACGUGAGUAGAACACUUAGCUGGAUAAAUGGGGUUGCUCUCUCCCAAGCUGGGUUUUGACGUAAUUCCUUCUGAUGUAGCUAGCAGGUGGUGGAUGUGUAUUUGAAUGUUGGCAGCACCCUGACAGCGAUUAGGAUGUCCUCAGUCUGCUAGUCUUCUUUGAUCCUUGAAUUUUGUGGAGCUCAAAUAGACAACAAAGCUUUGUGGAACUAGUUAAGUGUUAGCAUAAAUAUCUAGCUUUAUCAUGUUGAGCCUCCUCAAUAAAUUUUACACUCUUUGGUAGGAUCAUAAAUUUAUUUUUAUAGGAUAGGAAUAUAUUUAUUUUAUUUUUACGCCACCAUAGUGAAUGUACUUAUGGGUUUUAUGCCAUGAGCAUACUCACAUGGGGCUUACUAUUUUUUAACAUUUUUAUUUUCUUUUCAAGAUGAUAUGAACCUGAUUAACUAAGCAAACUAUUUUAAAUAAUUGAAGGGAAAAAGAUAACUACCAAGUUUACCUCUUAGCAAGGCGUUCGGUGUUUUUAAGUCCUCUGAACGGGACUCUCUAUUUUCUCAGUCGUCCAAGGAUUCACUGGAUGACAUAGUCGGUGGUUCUAAUAUAGAUGAUUGCUUUAACGGUGCUAAGGAACAGUCUUCCAAGGAUGACAGGUGGAUCGAAUUUGUCUUCUCCCAUGUCAAUAACCUUUCGGAAUGUCUGAUCUGCCAUCUAGAGCUGAAUGUAUGUUGGUUGUAGGGGCAUGGUUCCAUGCAGGAGCUGAUAAGUUACUGCGGCCAUUAUGUUGAUGUCAGAUCCGGUGUCGUAGAGUGUCUUCUAAAAAGAAUAUCCGUUGAUUGUGCACUCGAUGCUUGGAACACUAGGGUCAUCCUUAUUGAUCAAGAAAGGCGACUUGAGUUGAUGAUCUUGACCUCCUUGAAUUGCAGUCACCAUCUUAACUGACUCGGUCCACAUUUGCUUUUUUCUGUUCCUCCUGUUGGUCCUCUUCCUUGGUUCAUGUCAGGAUUGCUUUGAGAUUUGUGUGUCUUGUUCUUGAAGGAAAACAUCUCCUUCCGCCCCUUGAUGUAGAAACUGAUCUUGGCAGCACUAGCGUGGAUGACAGCUCCUGAGGUGUUCAGGAAUGACCUCUCUAGGAUGAUGCCCUCUCAUCAGUACCAGUCUCUACCACCACGAAGUCUGUUGGGGCGUACAAGGUACCAACUCGGACGCAGAGGUUCUUCAAUAUUCCCUUUGGGAAACUUAGUGUCUGAUCUGCAAGCUGGGCAUAAUGUUGACGCUGGAGCCAAAGUCGCAGAGUGCUUCUGGGAAGUUCACCAUGCCGAUGGAGAUCGGGAUGACGGUGCGUCCUGGAUUGUCUCUCUUGACUGGCAGAAGGUCAGUAAUUACUUCCACAAUGGGGUUACUCCAGUAGUUACGUCCUCAAGCAUCUCAGGGCAGUGAUUGCCUGAGUGUCCAUUAUCUCCAGUGUGUUUGUGCUCGUAGAUCUAGGUUCUUCACUUGGUGGAGUCUGGGAAUUGUAAAACUUCUUCAUAUUUUGCUCGAAGUGUACCUGCUCAUAGAAACAAGGCAGAGAUCAAGUGCAUGGGCCCUGUUGGUGGAAAACACCAACAGAACCAACAGUGUAUUUGUUCUUCUCUAACCUUAUGCAUAGUGAGCAAGACAAAGUUGAUGGAUAAUAAGAUCAUGAGUGUAGCAUUUAAAACAUUCGUCAGAUCAGAUCACUCAACCUAAUGGAAAGAUAAUCUAUCUAUACUUAUCUCUUUUUUUAUAUAUAUCUUCCAAAGAUUGUGU